UCCUCCGUGGCGCAAUUGGCUAGCGCGUUCGACUGUUACUGCACGCUGACAUCGAGAGGUUGGUGGUUCGAGCCCACCCGGAGGAG
RNAcentral lists this transfer RNA (86 nucleotides) under Blumeria graminis f. sp. tritici. It matches the Rfam family "tRNA". From Rfam's summary of the family: Transfer RNA (tRNA) molecules are approximately 80 nucleotides in length. Their secondary structure includes four short double-helical elements and three loops (D, anti-codon, and T loops). Lineage: Eukaryota; Fungi; Ascomycota; Leotiomycetes; Helotiales; Erysiphaceae. RNAcentral also lists the same sequence under 1 other name. The record is from Rfam by way of RNAcentral.